UCUCGGCAACGGAUAUCUCGGCUCUCGCAUCGAUGAAGAACGCACGAAAUGCGAUACCUGGUGUGAAUUGCAGAAUCCCGCGAACCAUCGAGUCUUUGAACGCAAGUUGCGCCCGAGGCCAUCCGGCCGAGGGCACGCCUGCCUGGGCGUCACGCUAAACACGCUC
Molecule: ribosomal RNA, 166 nt
Filed under: Peyritschia viridis
Lineage: Eukaryota; Viridiplantae; Streptophyta; Magnoliopsida; Poales; Poaceae
Also listed under: 1 other name
Description: Trisetum viride 5.8S ribosomal RNA
Rfam family: 5.8S ribosomal RNA
About the family: 5.8S ribosomal RNA (5.8S rRNA) is a component of the large subunit of the eukaryotic ribosome. It is transcribed by RNA polymerase I as part of the 45S precursor that also contains 18S and 28S rRNA.
Source: RNAcentral